RNAcentral lists this ribosomal RNA (107 nucleotides) under Vibrio parahaemolyticus. RNAcentral describes it as "partial 16S ribosomal RNA". It matches the Rfam family "Bacterial small subunit ribosomal RNA", at positions 1 to 100 of the family's 1533-position model. The record is from RNAcentral. Lineage: Bacteria; Pseudomonadati; Pseudomonadota; Gammaproteobacteria; Vibrionales; Vibrionaceae.
AAAUUGAAGAGUUUGAUCAUGGCUCAGAUUGAACGCUGGCGGCAGGCCUAACACAUGCAAGUCGAGCGGAAACGAGUUAUCAGAACCUUCGGGGAACGAUAGCGGCG